AGGACGAACGCUGGCGGCGUGCCUAAUACAUGCAAGUCGAACGGUCUUUCUAUGGAAGCUUGCUUCCACUGAGAAGAUAGUGGCGAACGGGUGAGUAACACGUGGGUAACCUGCCCAUAAGAGGGGGAUAACAUCCGGAAACGGGUGCUAAUACCGCAUAGUUUUCUUGAUCGCAUGAUCGGGAAAGGAAAGACGGCCUUUGUGCUGUCGCUUAUGGAUGGACCCGCGGCGUAUUAGUUAGUUGGUGAGGUAACGGCUCACCAAGACGAUGAUACGUAGCCGACCUGAGAGGGUGAUCGGCCACAUUGGGACUGAGACACGGCCCAAACUCCUACGGGAGGCAGCAGUAGGGAAUCUUCCGCAAUGGACGAAGUCUGACGGAGCAACGCCGCGUGAGUGAAGAAGGGUUUUUCGGAUACGUAAAACUCUGUUGUCAGAGAAGAACAAGUUGGAGAGUAACUGCUCCAGCCUUGACGGUAUCUGACCAGAAAGCCACGGCUAACUACGUGCCAGCAGCCGC
RNAcentral lists this ribosomal RNA (520 nucleotides) under uncultured bacterium. Its description in RNAcentral is "bacterial SSU rRNA". It matches the Rfam family "Bacterial small subunit ribosomal RNA", at positions 26 to 518 of the family's 1533-position model. The record is from RNAcentral.